RNAcentral lists this ribosomal RNA (68 nucleotides) under Corynebacterium diphtheriae bv. gravis. RNAcentral's name for it is "partial 16S ribosomal RNA". It matches the Rfam family "Bacterial small subunit ribosomal RNA", at positions 1 to 68 of the family's 1533-position model. The record is from RNAcentral. Lineage: Bacteria; Bacillati; Actinomycetota; Actinomycetes; Mycobacteriales; Corynebacteriaceae.
UUUAUGGAGAGUUUGAUCCUGGCUCAGGACGAACGCUGGCGGCGUGCUUAACACAUGCAAGUCGAACG